AAAGAGUGAUGAGCAGAGAGGCUCCCAUGCUUCACAGAAGCUUUCACCAGUCUUCUGUGAGAAACCAGAAAUCUCAUUUCUGAGUCU
RNAcentral lists this small nucleolar RNA (87 nucleotides) under Arabidopsis thaliana (thale cress). RNAcentral's name for it is "Plant small nucleolar RNA R71". It matches the Rfam family "Plant small nucleolar RNA R71", at positions 17 to 107 of the family's 107-position model. From Rfam's summary of the family: R71 is a member of the C/D box family of snoRNAs containing the C (UGAUGA) and D (CUGA) box motifs. Multiple nearly identical copies of this snoRNA have been identified in Arabidopsis, and it is thought to function as a 2'-O-ribose methylation guide for 18S ribosomal RNA. Lineage: Eukaryota; Viridiplantae; Streptophyta; Magnoliopsida; Brassicales; Brassicaceae. The record is from Rfam by way of RNAcentral.